ACAUGAUGCCUUCAUCAGUGUUCAGAGGAGCCGAGCUGGGCCACACAGCAGCAGACUGAGGACUCCAACUGAGCCGUGGCCUUGAGCCCGGAUGUCAUUUUGCCAUGCAGAGCCAUUUGCUUAAGAGCACCUGGUUGGGAAGGCAUUGCAAAUCGAUUUCCUUAAGGCUGGCCCUGGCACGGUAUUAGGCAAAACCACCAGCUCGAAUUCUCUUCAGUGUCAAAGAAGCGCAAUUCAAAGAAACCGAGUCAAUCGGCACCAGAUACUAAGGACGCUUAUCUUGGCAAUGAAAGGGCAGGAAGAAAGCAGAGAUUUUCCACCUUAAUUCUCAGUUAACCGCGAAUGCAAACCUCUCAGGGCCCAGGAGCCAGCUCUGGAACCAAGACAACUAUGGGGCGGUGCCGCCCCCUGCUGGCCGCUAGGUGGAUCUGCGUCCAGGGAGGCUUGAUGGGGGGGGGUGUGAAGAGAAAAUGAAUGAUUUCCUUUUUCCUUGGGCUUUUGUGUAACCAGUCUUUCCCCCCAGCAAUUGUGAGCUCACCAGUAGCAGUGACAUCAUUGACAGCUGUAACACAAGCAGUUCCCGGCGGUGUUUGCACUUACCCGCCCGGCACCAGGAAAACCCACAAACCUUGCUUCUCCCGAGAGUGUGGUGGGUCGCUCGAGGGAGGCGUCCCAGUCCCUCAGCCCGGGCCACCGAGGCGCACGGCCCGACCGCGAGGGGGCGCUCCGGGGCCACCACGGGGCCACAGGGCGACGCCUGUGCAUCGUCUUAGACAAAACGGAGGGAGGGCCUGACUGAACUGCCCGUCCUGGAAAACGUUAAAAUGUAUUCCGCUGGGUGAUCUCGGACAUGAGCAGGAGUCCGAAGAGUUCAGUGACACCACUACUGAGCUCUGUCUGCGGAUAAAUGAGAGCUUCAUACAGGGGACACAUCUUUGUGUAUGAAAAAUGUGGACAAGUUGGAUGCCCAGGCCUGUUUCAGUGCAGCAAAAGAGAAUUCCUGUACAAGAUAAACACACUUUUCAUGACCCCCAACCAUCCACCUCACAGAGAUU
Long non-coding RNA from Fukomys damarensis (Damara mole-rat), 1055 nucleotides. RefSeq lists it as uncharacterized. The record is from RefSeq and is a predicted model, not a curated record. Lineage: Eukaryota; Metazoa; Chordata; Mammalia; Rodentia; Bathyergidae. The transcript has 3 exons.